GGGUCAGUAGGUUGGUCGUGCCACCGGUACGUACUGGUCUCACUGAUUCCUCCUUCCUGAAGAACCGUAAUGCCAUUAAUUUGGUGUGGCGGGGAAACAGGACUGUUACUUUGAAAAAAUUAGAGUGUUUAAAGCAAGCUAACGCUUGAAUACGUUAGCAUGGAAUAAUGAAAUAGGACGAUCGAUCCUAUUUUGUUGGUUUCUAGGAUUGACGUA
RNAcentral lists this ribosomal RNA (216 nucleotides) under Glomeromycotina sp. Its description in RNAcentral is "partial small subunit ribosomal RNA". The stretch from base 40 to 216 matches the Rfam family "Eukaryotic small subunit ribosomal RNA", at positions 686 to 864 of the family's 1831-position model. The record is from RNAcentral. Lineage: Eukaryota; Fungi; Glomeromycota.